UUGUCAGAAGGUUUCAUUCUACAAUCACUAGUGAACUGACUCUCUUAAUUUGGAAAGACAAGUGAAGUCAACAAACAUGGUAAAAAAUCAAAAAGCUCCAAUAUAUGGAGGCAGCAAGCGUAAAAGGCAAGAAAAAUACCCUUACACUUCAAAAUUCCCUAAACAGACUCGUGCUAACGGUGAAAAUGGCGCAGAAAAAGAGCUGCACUUGAGAAAGAAGACGGCCAUCUCACAGGUCUCACUCCAAAUAUUCCACAAUUUGUGAAAUGCUUGAAAGGCUAUAAUGUGAAAAAGUCCUGGUGCUUCCUGGGACGGAGCCACCAGUCAAGAUACGGAUUUUG
This 341-nucleotide unclassified non-coding RNA is filed under the name Hevea brasiliensis (rubber tree). Lineage: Eukaryota; Viridiplantae; Streptophyta; Magnoliopsida; Malpighiales; Euphorbiaceae. The record is from RNAcentral.